AGGGGCGAUAGCACGUUGAGUAGACCAGUUCUCAAAGGAUCACUGAAGUUAAGCAACGUUGCGUUUUGUUAGUAUCAGGAUGGGCGACCAUCUGGGCAAUCGCCAAUCGCGUACUUC
Molecule: ribosomal RNA, 117 nt
Filed under: Diaphorina citri (Asian citrus psyllid)
Lineage: Eukaryota; Metazoa; Arthropoda; Insecta; Hemiptera; Psyllidae
Source: RNAcentral